Molecule: ribosomal RNA, 497 nt
Filed under: uncultured bacterium
Lineage: Bacteria
Description: partial 16S ribosomal RNA
Rfam family: Bacterial small subunit ribosomal RNA
Source: RNAcentral
GAUGAACGCUGGCGGCGUGCCUAAUACAUGCAAGUCGAACGAACAGGCGAGGAGCUUGCUCCUUGGACGUGAUCGGCGGGCGGGUGAGUAACACGUAGAAAACCUACCUAUGCGGCGGGGAUCAAUUCGGAAAACCGGAUCUAAUACCGGAUAAUAUUUCGAUCCACAUGGUUCGAUAGUAAAAUGUAACUUUACUAUCACUUAUAGAUGGACCUGCGCCGUAUUAGCUAGUUGGUAAGGUAACGGCUUACCAAGGCAACGAUCCGUCGCCGACCUGAGAGGUUGAUCGCCCAGACUGGAAUUGAGAACCGGUCCAGACUCCUACGGGAGGCGCCAGAGGGGAACCUUCGGCAAUGGGCGAAAGCCGGACGGGGCAACGCCGCGGGAGGGAUGAAGGUCUUCGGACCGUAAAACUUUUUUAUUAGGGAAGAACAAACGUGUAAGUAACUGUGCACGUCUUGACGGUACCUAAUCAGAAAGCCACGGCUAACUACGUG